Molecule: long non-coding RNA, 452 nt
Organism: Carcharodon carcharias (great white shark)
Lineage: Eukaryota; Metazoa; Chordata; Chondrichthyes; Lamniformes; Lamnidae
Exons: 3
Source: RefSeq, a predicted model, not a curated record
AAAGGUUUAAAUUAAAACCACUGGAUUUGGAGAGAAGCAGCAGCUUUUACUGUUUAACAGCGCAAUAGGACAUGACAACUGUGAUUGCACCCAAGUAAAAAUGAUUUCCAAUCAUAGUGGAGUUAGAAAAUGGAUGCUGAACAGGAGGGGGAGAAAGAAAGAAAAAAAAACAAGCAAGGAGCUGCCCAUGUGGAAUGUCAGUUUCCUCCCCCAGGAGAAUAUUUCUACUGAAUGGCUGUUCUGGAGCUGCCUACGGGACUACACGUUUACAGGAAAUGUACAGAAGACAUUGCCAAAGCAGAAAUCAUCACAAACUGUGGCUACCAAGCAACAAUGAAUGAAACCCAUCUCUAAAUCACACCAGGGCUGCUCUUUCUUUCAACUGGACAGCCAAAGUGACUGAUAUCUUGUCUGUUGUGCCAAAAGGAGAAUACAUUAAUCCUGGAAUCUGA